Heterocephalus glaber (naked mole-rat) is the source of this 746-nucleotide long non-coding RNA. RefSeq lists it as uncharacterized. The record is from RefSeq and is a predicted model, not a curated record. NCBI's taxonomy places the organism in Eukaryota, Metazoa, Chordata, Mammalia, Rodentia, Bathyergidae.
CACAGAGCAGCAGCGGCCUGGCGAGUUUUAGUAAAUAGUCACAGGGCGCAGCUCAGAAACGAGGAGUGGCCCGAGCCCCCGUGGCCGCAGGACUGUUUGCGAGACUCGGCCUGUGUUCAGCUGGGCCCUGCCUUCUAAGCGCACAUUCACUCACGAACAGCAGUGGCUGAAUCCCCCGAUGAUACACCACCGCAUGACCACUUACCUCUCCAGGAGUCGCUCAUUCCAGUCAAGAAUGAUUCUUGCGAGAACUUCUGCCCCCAGUCCACUGAUCGCUUCCUUACAGCGAACACCUACCUAGCAGGCUUCCUGCCUCCUGAUCGCUUCUGCCCAGUUUCACUGUAGCAGCCACAGAUUCUGCUGGGACGCGGGGCUAUCCCCAUUACCCAUCUGCCUCCAGCCUCCAGGAAACUUUUCAUCUCACUCAAGCAAGAGCAAGUGUCCGUACAUUCUCCACCUCGCUCGCCAGUACCGCCCUCCCUCACCUCUCUGGUAGUCCUCUCUCCUCCUUCUAUUCUUGCCCUGGGCCAGGCCCUUUCUCCUGCUGUUGCUUUUGUCUUGAAAGCGUCUGGAGUUCAUCCAGGUUGUUCCCUCAUCCUCUUCCACAUUUAGUCAGACUUUCUCAGCCUGUUAACCCCACUGUCCAUCUUUUCCCUGAUUUAUUUUCUCCUUUUCACUUCAAUGAUUUAUCUAUUUGGCUCAUUUACCUGUUUUAUCCAUUACUAUAAAAUGUGAGACCCAUGAAA